UCCUCCCUCUUUCUUCGUGCUUAACACAUGCAAGUCGUACGGUAAGGCCCUUUCGGGGGUACACGAGUGGCGAACGGGUGAGUAACACGUGAGUAACCUGCCCACAACUUUGGGAUAACGCUAGGAAACUGGUGCUAAUACUGGAUAUGUGCUCCUGCUGCAUGGUGGGGGUUGGAAAGCUCCGGCGGUUGUGGAUGGACUCGCGGCCUAUCAGCUUGUUGGUGGGGUAGUGGCCUACCAAGGCGGCGACGGGUAGCCGGCCUGAGAGGGUGACCGGCCACAUUGGGACUGAGAUACGGCCCAGACUCCUACGGGAGGCGGCAGUGGGGAAUAUUGCACAAUGGGCGCAAGCCUGAUGCAGCAACGCCGCGUGCGGGAUGACGGCCUUCGGGUUGUAAACCGCUUUCAGCAGGGACGAAGCUUUUUGUGACGGUACCUGCAGAAGAAGCACCGGCUAACUACGUG
This 465-nucleotide ribosomal RNA is filed under the name uncultured bacterium. Its description in RNAcentral is "partial 16S ribosomal RNA". It matches the Rfam family "Bacterial small subunit ribosomal RNA", at positions 36 to 507 of the family's 1533-position model. The record is from RNAcentral.